GACGAACGCUGGCGGCGUGCCUAAUACAUGCAAGUAGAACGCUGAAGCUUGGUGCUUGCACCGAGCGGAUGAGGUGCGCACGGGUGAGUAACGCGUAGGUAACCUGCCUGGUAGCGGGGGAUAACUAUUGGAAACGAUAGCUAAUACCGCAGAACAGUAGAUAUCGCGUGAGAGCUACUUGAAAGUUGCAAAUGCGCCACUACCAGAUGGACCUGCCGUGUAUUAGCUAGUUGGUGAGGUAACGGCGCACCAAUGCAACGGUACUUAGCCGCCCUGAGAGGGAGGGCGAGCCCGCCGGGGCGGGGGAACGGCCCCGAUGCGUACGGGAGGCGGCAGUAGCGCAUCUUCGGCGAUGGACGGAAGUCUGACCGAGCAAGGCCGCGUGAGUGAAGAAGGUUCUCGGAUCGUAAAGCGCUGGUGUAAGGGAAGAACGAGGGUGAGAGUGGAAAGGUCACACUGUUACGGUAUCUGACCAGAGAGGCACGGCUAACUACCUG
RNAcentral lists this ribosomal RNA (497 nucleotides) under uncultured bacterium. RNAcentral's name for it is "partial 16S ribosomal RNA". It matches the Rfam family "Bacterial small subunit ribosomal RNA", at positions 28 to 507 of the family's 1533-position model. The record is from RNAcentral.